Molecule: ribosomal RNA, 695 nt
Filed under: uncultured Acidobacteriota bacterium
Lineage: Bacteria; Pseudomonadati; Acidobacteriota
Description: bacterial SSU rRNA
Rfam family: Bacterial small subunit ribosomal RNA
Source: RNAcentral
UCCCCUUCGGGGGAUAAGUAAAGUGGCGCACGGGUGAGUAACACGUAGGUAAUCUACCUUCGGGUGGGGAAUAACCCAGGGAAACUUGGGCUAACACCGCAUGAUGCAGCGGCACCACAUGGUGACAGUUGUUAAAGCGGGGGAUUUUCGGACCUCGCGCCUGAAGAGGAGCCUGCGGCGGAUUAGCUAGUUGGUGAGGUAACGGCUCACCAAGGUCACGAUCCGUAGCCGGCCUGAGAGGGCGGUCGGCCACACUGACACUGACAUACGGGUCAGACUCCUACGGGAGGCAGCAGUCGGGAAUUUUGGGCAAUGGGCGAAAGCCUGACCCAGCAACGCCGCGUGAAGGAUGAAAUCCCUCGGGACGUAAACUUCGCAAGAAUGGGAAGAAUUAGCGAGCGCUAAUACCGCUCGUGAUGACGGUACCAUUUGUAAGCUCCGGCUAACUCCGUGCCAGCAGCCGCGGUAAUACGGGGGGAGCAAGCGUUGUUCGGAUUUACUGGGCGUAAAGGGCGCGUAGGCGGUCAGCACAAGUCAGUUGUGAAAUCUCCGGGCUUAACCCGGAAAGGUCAACUGAUACUGUGCGACUAGAGUGCGGAAGGGGCAACUGGAAUUCUCGGUGUAGCGGUGAAAUGCGUAGAUAUCGAGAGGAACACCUGCGGCGAAGGCGGGUUGCUGGGCCGACACUGACGCUG